UCUGGAAGACAUUUUGUUUAAUGUGCAUUAAAAAUCUGCAAAACCUAGUCAGUGACAUUAUGUUUGUCAUUUAUUCCAUCCAUUUGGAUAGUAACUGAUGAGCCUGGAGUUGGAAGACCCUGUCCAGCUGUCAUGGUCCAGGAUAAAGCCAUUUACAGAGGGAGGACGGUGUGGUGGUUAGAGAGAAAAUGGCCCCCAAAGGGAGUGGCACUGUUAGGAGGUGUGGCCUUGUUGGAGUAGGCGUGGCCUUGUUAGAGGAAGUGUGUCACUGUGGGGGUGGGGUUUGAGGUCUCAUAUGCGUUCAAGGCACACCCAGUGAGACAGACCACUUCCUGUUGCCUACAGUCAAGAUGUAGGGCCCUCAACUCCCUGUCCAGCACCAUAUCUGCCUGCUCGGUCGCCAUGGCCCACCAUGAUGACAAUGGCCUGAACCUAUGUCUGAAGACCUUUGUGAUACUCCAGGGGCCCAGAAGAGCCAAAAAGACUUCUCAGUGAGAGUGAACCUCCCACCAAGGGACGAGAAGCCGGAGAGGCUGGUACAAGUGAUGUAUCUGCCUCCAGCACAGUCUUCAAGGCGCUCGGGCGGAGCCGGAUGGAUGGCAGAGCUGAGACCCAAGGACUAAGAUUCCUGUCUCUGGCGGGCCGGGCCGUGUGUCUGGCUUUGGUGUUUUUCCUUUUACCACUUAAAGAAAUUAUUUACUAUUUA
Molecule: long non-coding RNA, 706 nt
Organism: Mesocricetus auratus (golden hamster)
Lineage: Eukaryota; Metazoa; Chordata; Mammalia; Rodentia; Cricetidae
Exons: 2
Source: RefSeq, a predicted model, not a curated record